Molecule: unclassified non-coding RNA, 222 nt
Filed under: plant metagenome
Description: partial contains small subunit ribosomal RNA, internal transcribed spacer 1, and 5.8S ribosomal RNA
Source: RNAcentral
UUUCCGUAGGUGAACCUGCGGAAGGAUCAUUAAAGAGAAUAUGCCCUUCGGGGUAGAUCUCCCACCCUUUGUUUAUAUUACCUUUGUUGCUUUGGCAGGCCCGUCUUCGGCCACCGGCUUCGGCUGGUCAGUGCUUGCCAGAGGAUCAAAAACUCUUAUUAUUAAUGUCGUCUGAGUACUCUAUAAUAGUUAAAACUUUCAACAACGGAUCUCUUGGUUCUG